AGGUGACUACCGUACCGGUUCGAUUCCGGUCCUCGGCACCA
This 41-nucleotide transfer RNA is filed under the name Bacillus methanolicus PB1. RNAcentral's name for it is "partial tRNA-Leu". Lineage: Bacteria; Bacillati; Bacillota; Bacilli; Caryophanales; Bacillaceae. The record is from RNAcentral.